RNAcentral lists this ribosomal RNA (203 nucleotides) under uncultured bacterium. RNAcentral's name for it is "partial 16S ribosomal RNA". It matches the Rfam family "Bacterial small subunit ribosomal RNA", at positions 328 to 539 of the family's 1533-position model. The record is from RNAcentral.
ACGCUCGACACCUACGGGAGGCGGCAGUCGGGAAUAUUGCGCAAUGGAGGAAACUNUCCCCCGAGCAGUGACGCCGCGUAUAGGAAGAAGGUUUUCGGAUUGUAAACUAUUGUCGUUAGGGAAGAGAAAGGACAGUACCUAAGGAGGAAGCUCCGGCUAACUACGUGCCAACAGCCGCGGUAAUCUGAGCGGGCUGGCAAGGC